Molecule: transfer RNA, 65 nt
Filed under: Dolichovespula saxonica
Lineage: Eukaryota; Metazoa; Arthropoda; Insecta; Hymenoptera; Vespidae
Description: tRNA-Ala
Source: RNAcentral
AGGAUAUUAGUUAAAUUUAUAACAUUUAUUUUGCAAAUAAAAAUUAUUUACUAAAAUAUAUCUUA